Molecule: long non-coding RNA, 2056 nt
Filed under: Eucalyptus grandis
Lineage: Eukaryota; Viridiplantae; Streptophyta; Magnoliopsida; Myrtales; Myrtaceae
Description: long non-coding RNA (EGRA_LNC002506)
Source: RNAcentral
CCCCGACCAGCAAGACCCACGGAGUGGGUUUCAGCAGCUUCGGGCCCGCUUUUGGGCCGUUUCCGGGCCCCGGAUCCGCGAGUCGCUUUGGGAACAAUCGUUCCUCGCGUCGCCGCCGUCGGAUUGAUCCGAUUUGCGCGCGAUUUGGUGAGUAAUCUCACUAAUCCUGGAUUAGUUGGCUAAUUAUGCUUAAGGUUGGUUUAGUUUUAAUUAAUUAUGUUUAGGUUGUUAGAUUAGAAUAAAUUAGCAAUUAUUAGUCAAUUGUGAUGCGAUUUAAAUAAAUUGAUUGCGCAAUUAGCAAGUAGACGUGGUCUACUAAUUGUUGGAAGCAUCUCGGGAAUUUUCCGACCCCUAAUUGGGCUUCAAUUUGGCGAUUCGGGUCUAAGUGAGAUUAUUGGUAUUUAAAUAUUAAUUUUCAGAAUUAAAUUAAAUAAUUAUUUAUUUCCCGAAAAUUCAACUGAGAUGGUCCGGAGCCGGAAUUUUAUGCUGAUGACUGUGGUGAAGUCCGUUUAUUUAACUGAGCACCAAUUUGAGCUAAAUUGGAUUUAUUAUAAUUAAUUUUUAAUUCUCGAAAUUAAUUAAUUAUUUAUUUAUUUUCCGAAAAUUUAACUGAGAUGGUUCGGAAUCGGAAUUUUAUGCUGAUGACCGUGGCGAAGUCCGUUUAUUUAAUUGGGCCUUAUUUUGAGCUAAACGGAAUUUUUUAAUAUUUAAUAAUUAAUUUUCGAAAUUAAUUAAUUAAUUAAUUAAUUUUCGGAAAUUGAGUUUGAGAUGACCGGUGAUCGAAAUCUCGUGCUGAUCGUCGUGGCACGAUCCGUUUAUUUAAUUGAGCUUGAUUUUGUGCUAAAUCAAUUUUUGGGUGAUUUUAGGAUUUAUUCCUAAAUUGUUGAAUUUUGGUUAUUAAUUGGGAAAUAACCGGGUGUCGGUUGACAGCACCAAAAGUGUUUUGGUGGACUACAGAUAAUGGUGGGAUUCGUGGAAAGGAAAUUAUAUUAUUUUAGCUAAGGCCGACCGUGUGCCCACGCACGGGUAUUUUUUAUCAGAAAGGAUAAAAAAAAAUGGUGAUUUGAUUAAAUGAUUAUUCCGGCAUACUAUAAAAGUAUGGUUGGCAGCUUCUGGUGAAAAUUGGGGGUAUACUAUAUCGGCCUUCGGGCGAUAUGUCAGCUUUGGGUGAGCAGUAUACCAGUAUACUAUAUCGACCUACGGGUGAUAUGUCAGCUUUGGGUGAGCAGUAUACUUUAUUAUCAGCUUUGGGUGAGCAUAUGGUAUACUAUAUCGGCCUUCGGGUGAUAUGUCAGCUUUGGGUGAGCAGUAUACCAGUAUACUAUAUCGACCUACGGGCGAUAUGUCAGCUUUGGGUGAGCAGUAUACUUUAUUAUCAGCUUUGGGUGAGCAUAUGGUAUACUAUAUCGGCCUUCGGGCGAUAUGUCAGCUUUGGGUGAGCAGUAUACCGGUAUACUAUAUCGGCCUUCGGGCGAUAUGUCAGCUUUGGGUGAGCAGUAUACUUUAUUAUCAGCUUUGGGUGAGCUAUGCUAUCUAUUUAUCAGCUUUGGGUGAGCAGUCCUGAUUUGAUAGGACUUUAUAGAUAGUAUUGAAUAUGUCGACCGAGCAUGGGUCGUGAUGUCAUGUAAUCGACUAGGUCGAUUGAUCAUUGAUUUGAUUUGAUGUCGUGGAUUGAUUGACUGAUUGGAAAUGACCGUGAGUGGUCUUGUUGGUGUGUAAUCGACUAGGUCGAUUCGAUCGAUGCUUUGAUCGGUGGUAUGAUUGCUUGGGUGCCUAUUAUGAAUUGUACUGACUUGCAGGUGGGAUCUGAUGCCAAGGUACGUCUUCUGCCCUGUGCGUGUUUAGGCAGCCUGUAGUAUAAUGGUUUACUAAUCGGGCUUAGUGGGGUAGAACUCGCUGAGACGUAGUCUCAUCCCAGUUUGGGGAAAAACAUUUCAGGACCCGAUAAGGAGCUGAGGAGGAGAAGUCUGGGAAGGAGAUCUUGGAGGUGAAACUUGAAGGGAAGGAUUUUGAAAGAAGAAGAUAAUACCGAGAUGGGCCUUGAGUAUGGCCUGGA